UACGGAAGGCAGCAGUGGGGAAUAUUGCACAAUGGGCGAAAGCCUGAUGCAGCUAUGCCGCGUGUAUGAAGAAGGCCUUAGGGUUGUAAAGUACUUUCAUCGGGGAGGAAAAACAAAACUAAUAAUUUUAUUUCUUGACGUUACCCGAAAAAGAAGCACCGGCUAACUCCGUGCCAGCAGCCGCGGUAAUACGGAGGGUGCUAGCGUUAAUCAGAAUUACUGGGCGUAAAGAGCACGUAGGUGGUUUUUUUAAAGUCAGAUGUGAAAUCCCUGGGCUUAACCUGGAAACUGCAUUUUGAAACUGAAAUACUAGAGUAUCGUAGAGGGAGGUAGAAUUCUAGGUGUAGCGGUGAAAUGCGUAGAUAUCUGGAGGAAUACCUGUGGCGAAAGCGGCCUCCUAAACGAAUACUGACACUGAGGUGCGAAAGCGUGGGGAGCAAACAGGGAUUAGAUACC
Molecule: ribosomal RNA, 456 nt
Filed under: uncultured bacterium
Lineage: Bacteria
Description: bacterial SSU rRNA
Rfam family: Bacterial small subunit ribosomal RNA
Source: RNAcentral